GUUCUGGGCAGCUAUAUUGGGAUUCUUAUCAAAUUAUAUUCAUAUAACUAUAAUUUGUAUCAAAAAACAUAAAGAAAAAUGCAAUGAAUAUUUGAAAUAUGCAAUGUUUUAGGCUGGCACAUAUGCAAUACCAAUUAAUACAUUUAAUUGAACAGUGAAGUACAUACAGUGCACAGAAUCUCUGUAUUUUAUUGUUCUGUACUUUUUGCAUUGCUACUAUUUCCAGGUCCAGCAGAAGAAGAGCGCUAGAACUUUAUCAUCAUGUACUGGUGCUUAAAGAAGCAGCAAAGCGGCAGGCAUUAUCUCCACAUCACAAAGCCUUUAGGGUGUAGCCUGGCCAGCACUCUUUAUAAAUUAGGUAAACUGUUACUUAGUUGCUCCAGUCUGCAGGAGAAACAAGAAGCAGUGGAGCUUCUACAAAAAGCAAUGGAUCCUUGGGUCAUCUUGCUCAGUUCCCAGUCAUGGUUUGUCUAAAGAAAUGUUGUGGAUUUUGAAAAAAUAAGACUGAAGCCCCUGACUUAACACUUCAUAGGCAAACUAGCAUGUUACCAGAGCAAGAGAAUCUGGAAGGAGCACCCCACCAGACUCCCGACCACAGACGAACAUGAAGAUGAGGCAGAGAUCCAAAAGCUGCAUUCAACUGAGAUCCUGUACCAGUACCGUCAGUAACAGACUCCAAGUGAAAGUCAACCUUCAAUCCUAUCUGGAGGAACCUCCAAGGAAAAGUUCUGUUCAAAACCACUUUACCAACCAAAGUCCCUGCAGUGUCAGUAUAAGUAAAGUAAAGGACUAGGGAGUGACAAUGUAAGGAUCAAAACAGACAUCUCUGUGUCUUCACAAGACACCCAACAUGAUUCAUUAAGGGAUAUUGUGUCUGCCAAAAGUGAUGGUGCAUGACCUAUGUUAUCCAGAAGGGGUGUGGUAUCAGCUCCAAAAAUGCUCAGUCUACAGGCCUCAGACUGUUUGCCAGACCUCCAUAUCAGCACCCUACAGUACCAUUAGAGAUUUGAUGCCAUCACUUACACUGGAUGUGUCAGACAGAAACAGAGUCCUCCACCGAAUGGCUUGGUACCAUGUACCAGGCAGGUACAUCACUCUUCAUAAACCAUUUCCUCCCAAAUGGAAUCUGCUGAGAAGUAGCUGUCAGGCAAACAGAUAGGUGUGACUGAGUUUUUGCUGUAACAUGGUCUCUGGUAUGCAGCUCAUGCCACUGUUCUACGUUCUCAUGCUAAGUGAUUAAUCACUUUAUAUUCUUUAUAUCUCUUGAUAUUACUAGACGGCUUUCUACUAUACAUUAAUUUCAGAAAUCAUUUCACCAUACUCAGUAACAUAUACCAUUCAUAACAGUUGCAUCAAAAAUGCUUUCAGGAAUGUUACAUAAUUGUAUUUUAAUAGCUACACCACAUUUUGCUGAGAGUUUGUGAUUGCUUGUGAUUAUACAGUAUAAUUUAUAUAGACAUGGAAAUGUUACUAGUUUUCUUACAUCAAUGGUUAUUUUUUCUUUUAAAGAACGUUAUGAAAAUACAAUGUUGAU
Long non-coding RNA from Polyodon spathula (Mississippi paddlefish), 1534 nucleotides. RefSeq lists it as uncharacterized. Lineage: Eukaryota; Metazoa; Chordata; Actinopteri; Acipenseriformes; Polyodontidae. The transcript has 3 exons. The record is from RefSeq and is a predicted model, not a curated record.